Molecule: ribosomal RNA, 1220 nt
Filed under: Aderidae gen. sp. 2 NLG-2012
Lineage: Eukaryota; Metazoa; Arthropoda; Insecta; Coleoptera; Aderidae
Description: partial 16S ribosomal RNA
Source: RNAcentral
UUCUUUAAAAUUAAUAAAUUUGGCGGUAUUUUAUUCUAUUUAGAGGAAUCUGUUUUUAAAUUGAUAGUCCACAAUUAUAUUUACUUUAUUUUUUAAUUUAUAUAUCGUUGUAUUAGAAUAUUUUUAUAUAAAAUAUUAUCAGAUCAAGGUGUAGUUUAUAAUAAAGUUAAAAUGGAUUACAAUAUAAAUUUAAUAUAAAUUGGAUUUAAUAGUAAGUUUUAAAAUAUGUACAUAUCGCCCGUCACUUUCAUUUAAGGUGAAAUAAGUCGUAACAAAGUAGAUUUACUGGAAAGUGAAUCUAGAUUCAAGUUAUAGCUAAGUAAGUAUUUUAUUUACACUAAAAUGAUAGUUGAAAUUCAAUUUAAUUUGAAUUUUAAAAUUUAUUAUUGAUUUUAAAUUAUUUGUUUUAAUUAAAAAAUUUAAUUUUUAGUAAUUUUUUGAAAAAAUAUUAUGAUAAAGAAUAGUAUUGUUAAAGAAAAUUUAAAAAUAGUAAAAAGAAAAUUUUAUUUAUUGUACCUUGUGUAUCAGGGUUUAUUAAUUUAAUUUUCUCGAAAUUUAAAGAGCUAAUUUUAUUGUUGAAUAAAUAUUUAUAAUAAGAAUUUAGUAAUGAAACGUUAUUCGUUUUAAAUUAUAUCUAGUUUUUUAAUAAAUAAAUUUAAUUUAAUGAUUAAUUAAUAUUUAAGGGAUAAGCUUUAAAGUAAAUUUUAAUAAAAUAAUAUGAAUAUUUAAUUUAUAGGAUUAGAAUUUUUUAAUGAUAGAAAAAUGUUAUAAUAAUUUUUUAAUUUUUUAUUAAAAUAAUGAUUUUAAUUAUAAAAAUUAAGUAAUAAUGAUAAAAUUAGUAAGUUGAUUUUAAGGAAUUCGGCAAAUAUAAUUUUCACCUGUUUAUUAAAAACAUGUCUUUUUGUUUAAGAUAAAAAGUCGGAUCUGCUCAAUGAUUAAAUAGCUGCAGUAUAUUAACUGUACAAAGGUAGCAUAAUCAUUAGUUUUUUAAUUGAAAGCUGGAAUGAAUGAUUUGAUGAAAAAUUUACUGUCUCAAGAAUUUUAUUUUUAAGUAAAAAAGCUUAAAUUUGGUAAAAAGACGAGAAGACCCUAUAGAGUUUUUUUAUUGGGGUGAUAUAAAAAUUUAAAUAACUUUUUAUUUUUAUGAGUUAUUGAUCCUAGAUUAAAAGAAAAAAUUACCUUAGGGAUAACAGCGUAAUUUUUUUAGAGAGUUCUUAUCG